CCAUCAUUCAGUUGGGCACUCUAGCGAGACUGCCGGUAAUAAACCGGAGGAAGGUGGGAUGACGUCAAUCAUCAUGCCCUUAUGACCUGGGCUACACACGUGCUACAAUGGUUGGUACAACGAGUUGCGAGUCGGUGACGGCGAGCUAAUCUCUUAAAGCCAAUCUCAGUUCGGAUUGUAGGCUGCAACUCGCCUACAUGAAGUCGGAAUCGCUAGUAAUCGCGGAUCAGCACGCCGCGGUGAAUACGUUCCCGGGCCUU
This 260-nucleotide ribosomal RNA is filed under the name uncultured Streptococcus sp. Its description in RNAcentral is "partial 16S ribosomal RNA". It matches the Rfam family "Bacterial small subunit ribosomal RNA", at positions 1118 to 1382 of the family's 1533-position model. The record is from RNAcentral. Lineage: Bacteria; Bacillati; Bacillota; Bacilli; Lactobacillales; Streptococcaceae.